AUUAGAUCAAAAAAUAGAAAAUAAAAUUUUAAUUAUUUCAUAAAAUUGAUCUGUUGCAUGCCUAGACUAGUUGUAGAAUUGUUCUAGUAACUUGUCUAGAAUAGUUUUUAUUUUGAAUAGUUCAAUUUAAAUUCUAUUUUUUAGAUAUUACAUGUGAUGUAUCAGAUCUGAAAGCAUGUUAAUUAGAUUAAUUUUUGAUACAUGAGAUG
RNAcentral lists this long non-coding RNA (209 nucleotides) under Elaeis guineensis (African oil palm). Its description in RNAcentral is "long non-coding RNA (EGUI_LNC070132)". The record is from RNAcentral. Lineage: Eukaryota; Viridiplantae; Streptophyta; Magnoliopsida; Arecales; Arecaceae.